Molecule: long non-coding RNA, 289 nt
Organism: Chinchilla lanigera (long-tailed chinchilla)
Lineage: Eukaryota; Metazoa; Chordata; Mammalia; Rodentia; Chinchillidae
Exons: 3
Source: RefSeq, a predicted model, not a curated record
CUUCGUGGAAACAGUUGCUGUGUGGAAGACUGUAACCACCACAGAGGGGCUGAGAUUAGAUGACCCAGCUUGGAUUGCUUUUCUGUAGCGCCUUCCCAGCUGGCUCUGCUGCAGCAGCUUUGCAAACUCCUGGACUGCAACUGAAAGACUUCAUCUUUCUCUGGCCCUUGGCCCCCAGCAUGCCAUAUUAAGCCUGAAGGCUAUGCAAGGCUGGGAUGUCUUCUCCCAGCUGGAGAUGUCCCUGCAUGAAGGUGGCACUCAGGGUAAUAAAAACAUAUGUCCACACAAA